GGUUCGAUUCCGGCUCGAAGGAC
RNAcentral lists this non-coding RNA (23 nucleotides) under Xenopus tropicalis (tropical clawed frog). RNAcentral also lists the same sequence under 2 other names. Lineage: Eukaryota; Metazoa; Chordata; Amphibia; Anura; Pipidae. The record is from RNAcentral.